GACGAACGCUGGCGGUGUGCUUAACACAUGCAAGUCGUACGGUAAGGCCCUUUCGGGGGUACACGAGUGGCGAACGGGUGCGUAACACGUGAGUAACCUGCCCACAACUUUGGGAUAACGCUAGGAAACUGGUGCUAAUACUGGAUAUGUGCUCCUGCUGCAUGGUUGGGGUUGGAAAGCUCCGGCGGUUGUGCAUGGACUCGCGGCCUAUCAGCUCGUUGGUGGGGUAGUGGCCUACCGAGGCGGCGACGGGUAGCUGGCCUGAGAGGGUGACCGGCUACAUUGGGACGGAGAUACGGCGCAGACGCCGAGGGGAGGCAGCAGAGGGGAGUAUUGCACAAUGCGCGCAAGCCUGAGGCAGCAACGCCGCGUGCGGGAUGACGGCCUUCGGGUUGUAAGCCGCUUUCAGCAGGGACGAGGCUUUUUGUGACGGUACCUGCAGAAGAAGCACCGGCUAACUACGUG
Molecule: ribosomal RNA, 465 nt
Filed under: uncultured bacterium
Lineage: Bacteria
Description: partial 16S ribosomal RNA
Rfam family: Bacterial small subunit ribosomal RNA
Source: RNAcentral